This 354-nucleotide RNase P RNA is filed under the name Anaerotalea alkaliphila. Its description in RNAcentral is "Bacterial RNase P class A". It matches the Rfam family "Bacterial RNase P class A". Rfam says of the family: Ribonuclease P (RNase P) is a ubiquitous endoribonuclease, found in archaea, bacteria and eukarya as well as chloroplasts and mitochondria. Lineage: Bacteria; Bacillati; Bacillota; Clostridia; Eubacteriales. The record is from Rfam by way of RNAcentral.
UGAGUAAACCAGACGGUCGCAGCUGCCGCAACAGGCGGCAGUCUGAGGAAAGUCCGAGCUCCAUAGGGCAGGGUGCCAGAUAACGUCUGGUGGAGGCGACUCCAAGGAAAGUGCAACAGAAAUAAACCGCCCGGGCUUUCGGGCCUGCGGCAAGGGUGGAAAGGCGGGGUAAGAGCCCACCGCCCCUUUGGCGACAAGGGGGGCAACUGUAAACCCCAUCCGGAGCAAGACCGUACAGAAGGCCAUACGGCUGCCCGUCGUGCCUUCGGGUAGGUCGCUUGAACUUGCCGGUGACGGCAAGGCUAGAUAGAUGACCGUCUUCAACAGAACUCGGCUUAUCGGUUUGCUCACAUC